GCCAAUGUAGCUCAGAGGCAGAGCACUUUCUUGGUAAGAAAGUGGUCACGGGUUCAAUUCCCGUCAUUGGCU
RNAcentral lists this transfer RNA (72 nucleotides) under Candidatus Bostrichicola ureolyticus. Its description in RNAcentral is "tRNA-Thr". It matches the Rfam family "tRNA". From Rfam's summary of the family: Transfer RNA (tRNA) molecules are approximately 80 nucleotides in length. Their secondary structure includes four short double-helical elements and three loops (D, anti-codon, and T loops). Lineage: Bacteria; Pseudomonadati; Bacteroidota; Flavobacteriia. The record is from RNAcentral.